AUUGUGGUUAAAAUUGGACACUCACAAGUUUCAGAGCCCUUAGAGAAUGGCUCUGAAAUGUAAUAGCGUUUCAUCCACCAUUGGAAUAACAGGAAAUUGUAGCAAGGCCUUUACUGGAAUGAUAAGAUCUCCAGAAGAAACAGGAACCAGAUGAUAGAUGAUAAAAUUACUUUUAUUCCAUGUAUAUUUAAAAGUAAAUAACAAAAAGCUGCACAAC
This is a non-coding RNA of Pelobates cultripes (western spadefoot toad), 217 nucleotides long. The record is from the annotation of a GenBank genome assembly. Lineage: Eukaryota; Metazoa; Chordata; Amphibia; Anura; Pelobatidae.